UGGCUCAUUAAAUCAGUUAUAGUUUAUUUGAUGGUUACUUACUACAUGGAUAACUGUGGUAAUUCUAGAGCUAAUACAUGCUUAAAAGCCCCGACUUUUGCGGAAGGGGUGUAUUUAUUAGAUUCAAACCAACAUUAUGUGGUGAUUCAUAAUAACUCAACGAAUCGCAUGUCCUUGCGACGGCGAUGCUUCAUUCAAAUAUCUGCCCUAUCAACUUUCGAUGGUAGGAUAGAGGCCUACCAUGGUUUUGACGGGUAACGGGGAAUUAGGGUUCGAUUCCGGAGAGAGGGCCUGAGAAACGGCCCUCACACCUAAGGGAGGCAGCAGGCGCGCAACUUAUCCAAUCCCGACACGGGGAGAUAGUGACAAUAAAUAACAAUACAGGGCUCUAUUGGGUCUUGUAAUUGGAAUGAGUACAAUUUAAAUACCUUAACGAGGAUCAAUUGGAGGGCAAGUCUGGUGCCAGCAGCCGCGGUAAUUCCAGCUCCAAUAGCGUAUAUUAAAAUUGUUGCCGUUAAAACGCGCUGAGUCGAACUUGGGCUCUCGCCGGCUGGUCCGUCAAUGACGAGUACUGGCUCGGUGGGAGCUUACUUUCUGGUGAAAACACAUGUCGUUUACUCGGCGUGUGUGGGAACCAGGACUAUUACUUUGAGAAAAUCAGAGUGUUCAAAGCAGGCGAAUGCCGGAAUGUAUUAGCAUGGAAUAAUGGAACAGGACGUGCGCUCUUGAUUCGUUGGUUUGCAGGAGCGCCGUAAUGAUGAAUAGCGGCAGUUGGGGGCAUUCGUAUUCAGCUGCUAGAGGUGAAAUUCUUGGAUUUGCUGAGGACGAACUACUGCGAAAGCAUUUGCCAAAGAUGCGCGCAUUGAUCAAGCACGAAGGAUGGGGGAUCCAAAACGAUUAGAUACCGUUGUAGUCCCAUCAGUAAACGAUGCCGACUAGGGAUUGGACAAGAAUUUUAAUGACUUGUCCAGCACCUGAAGAGAAA
RNAcentral lists this ribosomal RNA (985 nucleotides) under Hypocreales sp. RNAcentral describes it as "SSU rRNA". It matches the Rfam family "Eukaryotic small subunit ribosomal RNA", at positions 94 to 1097 of the family's 1831-position model. The record is from RNAcentral. Lineage: Eukaryota; Fungi; Ascomycota; Sordariomycetes; Hypocreales.